UGUUGGCUGUCCAGAUGAUUAAAACUCAUUUGUUAGCAAGGGCCGGGCAAGACCGGUGCCAGCCGCCGCGGUAACACCGGCGGCCCGAGUGGUAACCGUUUUUAUUGGGUCUAAAGGGUCCGUAGCCGGCCUGAAAAGUCCUUUGGGAAAUCUGACAGCUUAACUGUCAGGCUUCUAAGGGAUACUCUCAGGCUUGGGACCGGGAGAGGUAAGGGGUACUCCAAGGGUAGGAGUGAAAUCUUGUAAUCCUUGGGGGACCAUCUGUGGCGAAGGCGCCUUACCAGAACGGGUCCGACGGUGAGGGACGAAAGCUAGGGGAGCAAACCGGAUUAGAUACCCGGGUAGUCCUAGCCGUAAACGAUGCUCGCUAGGUGUCUGGCACGGUGCGUCCGUGUCCGGUGCCGCAGGGAAGCCGUUAAGCGAGCCACCUGGGAAGUACGGUCGCAAGGCUGAAACUUAAAGGAAUUGGCGGGGGAGCACUACAACGGGUGGAGCCUGCGGUUUAAUUGGAUUCAACGCCGGAAAACUCACCGGGUGCGACAGCAACAUGUAGGUCAGGCUGAAGGUCUUACCUGAAUCGCUGAGAGGAGGUGCAUGGCCGUCGUCAGUUCGUACUGUGAAGCAU
RNAcentral lists this ribosomal RNA (625 nucleotides) under uncultured Methanosarcinales archaeon. Its description in RNAcentral is "bacterial SSU rRNA". It matches the Rfam family "Archaeal small subunit ribosomal RNA", at positions 401 to 1024 of the family's 1478-position model. Lineage: Archaea; Methanobacteriati; Methanobacteriota; Methanomicrobia; Methanosarcinales. The record is from RNAcentral.